Non-coding RNA from Mus musculus (house mouse), 334 nucleotides. Lineage: Eukaryota; Metazoa; Chordata; Mammalia; Rodentia; Muridae. The record is from Rfam.
GAACUCGAGAGGUAUCUGUCUGUGACAUCUGUCACUCCAUGGAUUACUGGGGUUGAUGCAGCCAGUCUGGUUCUUUAGGCUGGUGUCUUCUUCCUCUCUCAAUGUCUCAUUUUUAUCUUUCCCAAAGCUGUGAACUCUAUGGCAGGUGGAAGAGGAUGAUGUUGCCCAAGGAUGGUCUUCCCAAACAGGAGAAGGAGAGACCUUCAAGUCAAGGGUACACCAGUAGCUGUACUCCCAUGCUAAAACCUCCAAAUAAGUUCUCAAAUUCCAAAUAUAGGUACAAAAUUAAUCACUUAUGUAAAGCAGAUUUGUUUUCUUGAUUAUGUCUUUAUAU